Molecule: long non-coding RNA, 2046 nt
Filed under: Volvox carteri
Lineage: Eukaryota; Viridiplantae; Chlorophyta; Chlorophyceae; Chlamydomonadales; Volvocaceae
Description: long non-coding RNA (VCAR_LNC003523)
Source: RNAcentral
UCAAAAAUUUCAUCCAUCGCGACCGCUAGGGCAAACGCCAUCGCGGCUCGCGCGGGAUGCAGUGCCAUUGCACUAGGCAGGGCUGCCAAUAACCCUUCAAUUAUAUAUUGCGAUUCUAAGGGGAUGUGCUGAAGUUUUGGCCAUUGAAAGACAUAAAAUGGAGAUGGUUUACACAGCUCGCGCCAACGAACACAACGUCGUCGUAAUGUCCCAUGUGAACUGGGUGACUUUCUCAGGCCCACUUUUCCCAAAACGUUUUCGCAACGUAACGUAGCAUGUGAAUCCAGUAUUAAAGUGGUGUGUAACGAAGUAUGACAGCUAGCUCGCUGCAACUGUUAUUUCGUUCAUUGCUGGAGCGAAUGUGCCAGUGCAAGCCAUCAUGCUCCCAUUGGGAGCCCAACAUGUAACGCCGCUAAGGCGGCCCUUGGCUCACCGGGCCAACGGUUAUCGUACCAACGGUACAUCCAAGAACUAUUCAUAAUCCUUCAAUAUUAAACGGUAUGUAUCAAUACCACCUUUUUAUCGUUGGAUAAUUAUCUUCGUAACUGUUUCGCCAACUGCCGAGCUUUGUUACGGUUUGGUAUCGAGACCAUUGUAACACAGCAAAGGCGUAACCCAGGAUGCUCAGAUUGGCCUUGCGUCGUUACACAACAUGCUUCAAGGUUCUCCUGUGCAUGUCAUUUACUUUAAACAUCAUUGAACGAGCUUGCAUGACACGCUGAUAUUGCCUUGCACCUAUCAGGCUGCCGGCAUGUCAAUUAUAUUGCCGCCUGCAUGGCGCACCGUAGCUCCCCAUCUGCAAUAAGGCAAGAAUUUGACGACCGCUUUACUCAGAAAGGUCUCUGAGCAAACAAAAGCAGAACUAUGAGGAAAAGGGUUAUUUCGUGGCCAUCCCAUGCCUACCAGCAUAAACGGGAUAACGAACAAAAGCAAAACGAUACUGUGGUGAUUCUUUUCAUCCAAAGCAAAUCUCACAAGAGUGGAGCCGCGAGCGCAGAUCGUUAUGGCAUACAUGCAUGCAGCGCUUUCGAGGAUUGCCGUGCUACUCUCAUUGCACUACUGAAAACCAUUUUCUCAGCAGUCGUCCAAGGCUGCUUGUUGGGCCCUGCGGAACGUCUAGGCACCUGAACGACGGUUGGGCAUUCGGCAGCGAAGGCAAGCCACGAAGCUAGGGGCACUCGGGCAGCAUGCCUACCUUCCUGUCCUUAUGCGACUCAUGUAUGAGGUAACCAGCAAGUACAUACGUAUUUAUGUUACAGUUACGUUGAAACCUGAACGUGCUAAUCACAACCCAACGGCUUUUUAACCUAGCUUGGCAAGAGCUUAGUCGUAUACUUAGCAUGGCCAGCAAGCCGCCGAACAUGAUCUGCGAAGGCGACGUCUGUCACAAGGUAACACACAGUUCACUGUGCGUCGCAUCCGUCGAAAGACGAGCAGAGGUGCCAUAGGUCCCGAACUCAGCAUAUUAGAUACGUAUAAGAACUAUCUUACACUGGCUGAUUCUCAGGUGACCCAGGACCAAAUAGCGGCGAGGUACGGCCGUGUUCCCGUUUUUAAACUUCUGAGCUCGUCGGCAUUGCAGAGCAAGGCCGGAGCUCAAGUCCCUCUCUCCAACAGCAUCGGUGAGCUGUCAUGGGGUAUGGUUGAGGGAAUUUCGUUUCGCGUGCGAUGCGGGAGCAUAGCUCCUUCGGCAGCAAACGUUUUUCCCGUUGCCCAGCGCAUUACAUCCUAAACACACCGGAUGUCACCCCUGGCUGCCAACCCUCGUCCUACCCACAUAAUCUGACCCCGCCUUCUUUCUUUGUGCACAGCCGGCUGCGUGUUGGACUCACAGCUAAAAUUGCACCCUAUGAGCGAUGCUUGGGUGCCGUGUUAAGUAUUCAUCAGGGCAUCAUCAGGAAAGAAAGCCGCUCCAACCACCGCUAUCUUACGAACCCGCUCACACCGCGCCGCACUCCGACGGCCCCCUCGACAACUGAUCCGUAUUUCCCCCUUCUUCCUGCACUCUUUCGCCUCCCCGCUCUUCUGGUGGCAAUGCAAUACCCU